GUGGUUGAUUGAUAUACGAAGACAAAACGAAAAAAGAGUUAGUAAAAGGCCUAACUUGUAGGCAGGAAGAGUGGUGGAAGUAUGAUGGUGAAAGAGCAAAGUGACAUUUAUGUUCUUGUGUUCUUUAUUUUUGAGACAUAAUCUUCCAUUUCUUCACUUCAAUGUUUCUCUUCUCUGCUUUCGGUCAUUGCUAUGCCCCAUUUGUUCUUACCUU
Long non-coding RNA from Arabidopsis thaliana (thale cress), 214 nucleotides. RefSeq annotates it as other RNA. The transcript has a single exon. NCBI's taxonomy places the organism in Eukaryota, Viridiplantae, Streptophyta, Magnoliopsida, Brassicales, Brassicaceae. The record is from RefSeq.